AACGAACGCUGGCGGCAGGCCUAACACAUGCAAGUCGAACGCCCUGGCAACAGGGAGUGGCAGACGGGUGAGUAACGCGUGGGAACGUGCCCUUCGGUUCGGAAUAACUCAGGGAAACUUGAGCUAAUACCGGAUACGUGCGAGAGCAGAAAGAUUUAUCGCCGAAGGAUCGGCCCGCGUCCGAUUAGCUAGUUGGUGAGGUAACGGCUCACCAAGGCGACGAUCGGUAGCUGGUCUGAGAGGAUGAUCAGCCACACUGGGACUGAGACACGGCCCAGACUCCUAGGGGAGGCAGCAGUGGGGAAUAUUGGACAAUGGGAUCAAGCCUGAUCCAGCCGUGCCGCGUGGGUGAUGAAGGCCCUAGGGUUGUAAAGCUCUUUCGCCAGGGACGAUAAUGACGGUACCUGGAUAAGAAGCCCCGGCUAACUUCGUGCCAGCCGCCGCUGUAA
Molecule: ribosomal RNA, 449 nt
Filed under: uncultured bacterium
Lineage: Bacteria
Description: partial 16S ribosomal RNA
Rfam family: Bacterial small subunit ribosomal RNA
Source: RNAcentral